GAUCGUGUUCUCUUGUUCUCCUCUGCUGCUCCUCACCAAUCACUGAUCGUCUUCUACUGUUCUGCUCGUCGAACGUCGUCGUCGUCACCAGUCAUCGCCGUCAGUCUUCGUCGUGUAUAAGGUUUCUCCAGUCAUCGUCGUCACCAUCAGUCUUCGUCUGUGUAUAAGGUAUCUCUCUCUCUCUCUCUCUCUCGUCAGUCAUACAGUAUGACUCAUACUCAUAUUUAUUUUAGGUUUUUAAAGUGUUAUUUUUUACUGUGCUGUAAAAAAUAGACCCAUUUUGCUCUUAUUGAUGGCUGGUAGAGGCUGAAAUCUGGUAUGUAGUCUAAUUUUAAAGUUUUUUUUUCCCAUAACAGUCUGAUGGAAUCUGUUGCUAGUUCUGUUGUUGGUAGUUCUGUUUCUAAUGAAGGGGAAUCGAGGGAUCAAAAUACAAACAAUCCUCUUUGUAGUUAUGUUACAAAAUUUGAGAAGAGUGAGGUGGGGGGG
RNAcentral lists this long non-coding RNA (486 nucleotides) under Panax ginseng (ginseng). Its description in RNAcentral is "long non-coding RNA (PGIN_LNC016928)". The record is from RNAcentral. Lineage: Eukaryota; Viridiplantae; Streptophyta; Magnoliopsida; Apiales; Araliaceae.